RNAcentral lists this transfer RNA (90 nucleotides) under Actinomyces sp. RNAcentral's name for it is "tRNA-Ser". It matches the Rfam family "tRNA". Rfam says of the family: Transfer RNA (tRNA) molecules are approximately 80 nucleotides in length. Their secondary structure includes four short double-helical elements and three loops (D, anti-codon, and T loops). The record is from RNAcentral. RNAcentral also lists the same sequence under 4 other names. Lineage: Bacteria; Bacillati; Actinomycetota; Actinomycetes; Actinomycetales; Actinomycetaceae.
GGAGGGUUGACCGAGCGGCCGAAGGUGACGGUCUUGAAAACCGUUGUGUCCUCACGGGCACCAAGGGUUCAAAUCCCUUACCCUCCGCCA